Molecule: transfer RNA, 70 nt
Filed under: Hoplisoma nattereri (blue corydoras)
Lineage: Eukaryota; Metazoa; Chordata; Actinopteri; Siluriformes; Callichthyidae
Description: Corydoras nattereri tRNA-Tyr
Rfam family: tRNA
About the family: Transfer RNA (tRNA) molecules are approximately 80 nucleotides in length. Their secondary structure includes four short double-helical elements and three loops (D, anti-codon, and T loops).
Source: RNAcentral
NNUAGGAUGGCCGAGGGUUAGGCGGUGGAUUGUAGCUCCAUAUACAGAGGUUCAAGUCCUCUUCUUAUCA